GGGCAGAUGACUUUCUAGUGAAGUAGAAGACAGCAUCGACGUCUGGGAGACCGUCGGAGAGGCCCUGCUGGAUGUACUGCUGCCCGCCGUAAAUCUGAGUGUAGAAAUCCUCGUGAGCGACCUCACCGACGUUUUCCAGUGGGAGGCCCCGGGGCCAGACUGUCCGCUGGCCGAAGUGGACGUAGGGGUUGACUACGGUCCGGUUAGGGUUGGCGUGGCUGUACUGGAGGAUCACGGGGACGUCGCCGGUGAGAUCGAGGUCGAAGCGGUGAGCGAGGUCGGAGCCGAGGACGUCAGCGCGGUGGUCGGCGUCGUAGAUGAGACGGGCGCCG
Molecule: unclassified non-coding RNA, 332 nt
Filed under: Hevea brasiliensis (rubber tree)
Lineage: Eukaryota; Viridiplantae; Streptophyta; Magnoliopsida; Malpighiales; Euphorbiaceae
Source: RNAcentral